This is a transfer RNA of Moraxella bovoculi 237, 73 nucleotides long. It matches the Rfam family "tRNA". Rfam says of the family: Transfer RNA (tRNA) molecules are approximately 80 nucleotides in length. Their secondary structure includes four short double-helical elements and three loops (D, anti-codon, and T loops). The record is from Rfam. Lineage: Bacteria; Pseudomonadati; Pseudomonadota; Gammaproteobacteria; Moraxellales; Moraxellaceae.
GUGGGUAUAGCUCAGUUGGUAGAGCCCCGGAUUGUGAUUCCGGUUGUCGUGGGUUCAAGUCCCAUUACUCACC